This 136-nucleotide small RNA is filed under the name Salmonella enterica subsp. enterica serovar Moscow str. SA20061414. RNAcentral's name for it is "RtT RNA". It matches the Rfam family "RtT RNA". Rfam says of the family: This family represents a bacterial cis-regulatory element known as RtT RNA. The exact function of RtT is unknown although it is thought that it may be involved in changing the cellular response in relation to amino acid starvation. Lineage: Bacteria; Pseudomonadati; Pseudomonadota; Gammaproteobacteria; Enterobacterales; Enterobacteriaceae. The record is from RNAcentral.
UGUAUCUGAAGUCUGACGAGGAUGAGAACCUCCGGGGGCAAGGAGGUUCGACUCGAGCGAAGCGAGAGAACGUUGCGUCAGCAACGGCCCGCAGGGCGAGCCACGCACGUGGCGAGUCCGAUCCGUCUAUCACCGA